RNAcentral lists this ribosomal RNA (809 nucleotides) under uncultured bacterium. RNAcentral describes it as "bacterial SSU rRNA". It matches the Rfam family "Bacterial small subunit ribosomal RNA", at positions 8 to 796 of the family's 1533-position model. The record is from RNAcentral.
AGAGUUUGAUCCUGGCUCAGAACGAACGCUGGCGGCGUGGAUAAGACAUGCAAGUCGGACGAGAUUUUCCGUUGUAGCAAUACGAUGGAAAGUCUAGUGGCGAACGGGUGCUUAACACGUGGGCAACCUGCCAAGAAGUGGGGGAUAGCUCGCCGAAAGGCGAAUUAAUACCGCAUGUGAUCAGAGAGGACAUCCUUUCGAAAUUAAAGUCGGGGCAACCUGACGCUUUUUGUGGGGCCCGCGGCCUAUCAGCUAGUUGGUGAGGUAACAGCCCACCAAGGCUUUGACGGGUAGCUGGUCUGAGAGGACGACCAGCCACACUGGGACUGAGACACGGCCCAGACACCUACGGGUGGCAGCAGUCGAGAAUUUUUGACAAUGGGGGAAACCCUGAUCGAGCGACGCCGCGUGGAGGAUGAAGGUCAUCGGAUUGUAAACUCCUGUCAUUGGGGAACAAGGUGCAUACGUUAACUGCGUGUGCGUUGAUAGUACCCGAAGAGGAAGAGACGGCUAACUCUGUGCCAGCAGCCGCGGUAAUACAGAGGUCUCAAGCGUUGUUCGGAUUCAUUGGGCGUAAAGGGUGCGUAGGCGGCGCGGUAAGUCGGGUGUGAAAUCUCGGAGCUUAACUCCGAAACUGCAUUCGAUACUGCCGUGCUUGAGGACUGGAGAGGAGACUGGAAUUUACGGUGUAGCGGUGAAAUGCGUAGAUAUCGUAAGGAAGACCAGUGGCGAAGGCGGGUCUCUGGACAGUUCCUGACGCUGAGGCACGAAGGCCAGGGGACAANNGGGAUUAGAUACCCNNGUAGUCC